GUAGGGAAUUUUCCGCAAUGGGCGAAAGCCUGACGGAGCGACGCCGCGUGAGGGAUGAAGGCCUUCGGGUCGUAAACCUCUUUCGUUGGGGAAUAAGUGCAUCCGCGUGAAUAAUGCGGGUGCUUGACAGUACCCGAGGAAGAAGCUACGGCUAACUCUGUGCCAGCAGCCGCGGUAAUACAGAGGUAGCAAACGUUGUCCGGAUUUACUGGGCGUAAAGGGAUCGUAGGCGGUCAAAUAAGUCAGGUGUGAAAUCGUCCCGCUUAACGGGACAACUGCACUUGAUACUGCUUGGCUUGAGUGCGGGAAGGGAAAAUGGAAUUUCCGGUGUAGCGGUGAAAUGCGUAGAUAUCGGAAAGAACACCAGUGGCGAAGGCGGUUUUCUGGCCCGCAACUGACGCUGAGGAUCGAAAGCCAGGGGAGCAAACGGGAUUAGAUACCCUGGUAGUCC
RNAcentral lists this ribosomal RNA (451 nucleotides) under uncultured bacterium. RNAcentral's name for it is "bacterial SSU rRNA". It matches the Rfam family "Bacterial small subunit ribosomal RNA", at positions 354 to 796 of the family's 1533-position model. The record is from RNAcentral.